CCUACGGGGGGCUGCAGUGGGGAAUAUUGGACAAUGGGGGCAACCCUGAUCCAGCCAUGCCGCGUGUGUGAAGAAGGCCCUCGGGUUGUAAAGCACUUUCAGUGAGGAAGAACGCCUGGUGGUUAAUACCCAUCAGGAAAGACAUCACUCACAGAAGAAGCACCAGCUAACUCCGUGCCAGCAGCCGCGGUAAUACGGAGGGUGCGAGCGUUAAUCGGAAUUACUGGGCGUAAAGCGCGCGUAGGUGGCUUGAUAAGCCGGUUGUGAAAGCCCCGGGCUCAACCUGGGAACGGCAUCCGGAACUGUCAAGCUAGAGUGCAGGAGAGGAAGGUAGAAUUCCCGGUGUAGCGGUGAAAUGCGUAGAGAUCGGGAGGAAUACCAGUGGCGAAGGCGGCCUUCUGGACUGACACUGACACUGAGGUGCGAAAGCGUGGGUAGCAAACAGGAUUAGAUACCCGGGUAGUC
RNAcentral lists this ribosomal RNA (465 nucleotides) under Vreelandella stevensii. RNAcentral's name for it is "partial 16S ribosomal RNA". It matches the Rfam family "Bacterial small subunit ribosomal RNA", at positions 338 to 795 of the family's 1533-position model. Lineage: Bacteria; Pseudomonadati; Pseudomonadota; Gammaproteobacteria; Oceanospirillales; Halomonadaceae. The record is from RNAcentral.